This 499-nucleotide ribosomal RNA is filed under the name uncultured Methanomassiliicoccales archaeon. RNAcentral describes it as "bacterial SSU rRNA". It matches the Rfam family "Archaeal small subunit ribosomal RNA", at positions 309 to 816 of the family's 1478-position model. The record is from RNAcentral. Lineage: Archaea; Methanobacteriati; Thermoplasmatota; Thermoplasmata; Methanomassiliicoccales.
CAGCAGUCGCGAAAACUUCAGCAGUCGCGAAAACUUCACAAUGGGAGAAAUCCCGAUGAGGGAAUUCCAAGUGCUAGCACUAUGUGUUAGCUGUUCUUUUGUCUAAAAAACAGAGGAAGUAAGGGCCGGGUAAGACGGGUGCCAGCCGCCGCGGUAAUACCCGCGGCCCGAGUGGUGGUCGAUAUUAUUGAGCCUAAAACGUCCGUAGCCGGUCUUGUAAAUCCUUGGGUAAAUCGGCCAGCUUAGCUGUCCGAAGUCCGGGGAGACUGCAAGACUUGGGAUCGGGAGAGGUCAGAGGUACUUCUGGGGUAGGGGUAAAAUCCUGUAAUCCUGGAAGGACCACCGGUGGCGAAGGCGUCUGACUAGAACGAAUUCGACGGUGAGGGACGAAGCCCUGGGGCGCAAACGGGAUUAGAUACCCCGGUAGUCCAGGGUGUAAACGCUGCGGGCUUGGUGUUGGGGGUCCUUUGUGGGCGCCCAGUGCCGGAGAGAAGUUGUU